GAUGAAGAACGUAGCGAAAUGCGAUAAGUAAUGCGAAUUGCAGAAUUUCCGUGAGUCAUCGAAUCUUUGAACGCACAUUGCGCCCAUUGGUAUUCCGAUGGGCAUGCCUGUUCGAGCGUCAUUAUCUUCCCUCAAACCUCGCGUUUGGUGUUGGGCCGUGCUGGUUCCUGCGGGACCAACUGGCCUCAAAGACAAUGACGGCGUCCGUGGGGACCCUCGAUGCAACGAGCUUUCUCAGGAGCACGCGUCGAGUUUUAAAGGAUCUUCCGGGCCGGUCUCGCAUGUUAUUACAAAGGUUGACCUCGGAUCAGGUAGGGAUACCCGCUGAACUUAAGCAUAUCAAUAAGCGGAGGA
This 354-nucleotide unclassified non-coding RNA is filed under the name soil metagenome. Its description in RNAcentral is "partial contains 5.8S ribosomal RNA, internal transcribed spacer 2, and large subunit ribosomal RNA". The stretch from base 1 to 121 matches the Rfam family "5.8S ribosomal RNA", at positions 35 to 154 of the family's 154-position model. The record is from RNAcentral.